Molecule: ribosomal RNA, 441 nt
Filed under: uncultured Alcaligenaceae bacterium
Lineage: Bacteria; Pseudomonadati; Pseudomonadota; Betaproteobacteria; Burkholderiales; Alcaligenaceae
Description: bacterial SSU rRNA
Rfam family: Bacterial small subunit ribosomal RNA
Source: RNAcentral
CAGCAGUGGGGAAUUUUGGACAAUGGGGGAAACCCUGAUCCAGCCAUCCCGCGUGUGCGAUGAAGGCCUUCGGGUUGUAAAGCACUUUUGUCAGGGAAGAAAAGUUCGUGGUUAAUACCCAUGGACGCUGACGGUACCUGAAGAAUAAGCACCGGCUAACUACGUGCCAGCAGCCGCGGUAAUACGUAGGGUGCAAGCGUUAAUCGGAAUUACUGGGCGUAAAGCGUGCGCAGGCGGUUCGGAAAGAAAGAUGUGAAAUCCCAGGGCUCAACCUUGGAACUGCAUUUUUAACUCCCGAACUAGAGUAUGUCAGAGGGGGGUAGAAUUCCACGUGUAGCAGUGAAAUGCGUAGAGAUGUGGAGGAAUACCGAUGGCGAAGGCAGCCCCCUGGGAUAAUACUGACGCUCAUGCACGAAAGCGUGGGGAGCAAACAGGAUUAGA